RNA transcript from Galeopterus variegatus (Sunda flying lemur), 3827 nucleotides. It is a transcript of the gene named integrator complex subunit 6, with no coding region annotated. Lineage: Eukaryota; Metazoa; Chordata; Mammalia; Dermoptera; Cynocephalidae. The record is from RefSeq and is a predicted model, not a curated record. The transcript has 17 exons.
GAUGGAAAGAAAACCAUGCAACGUUUAUGAAUGAACUGAAAAACCUUCAGGCUGAAGGACUUACGACUCUUGGCCAAUCCCUAAGGACAGCUUUUGAUUUAUUAAAUUUAAAUAGAUUAGUAACUGGCAUAGACAACUAUGGGCAGGGAAGAAACCCUUUUUUCUUGGAGCCAGCAAUAAUUAUUACAAUUACUGAUGGGAGCAAGUUGACUACUACUAGUGGAGUCCAGGAUGAGCUCCAUUUACCUCUUAAUUCUCCUUUGCCUGGAAGUGAAUUGACCAAGGAACCUUUUCGUUGGGAUCAGAGACUCUUUGCAUUAGUGUUGCGGUUGCCUGGCACCAUGUCAGUAGAAUCAGAACAGUUGACAGGUGUACCUUUAGAUGACUCUGCAAUCACACCAAUGUGUGAAGUGACAGGCGGCCGCUCAUAUUCUGUAUGUUCUCCAAGAAUGCUUAAUCAAUGUCUGGAGUCCUUGGUGCAGAAAGUGCAAAGUGGAGUGGUAAUAAACUUUGAAAAAGCAGGACCAGAUCCUUCCCCUGUAGAAGAUGGACAGCCAGAUAUAUCAAGGCCUUUUGGAUCUCAGCCUUGGCAUAGCUGUCACAAACUUAUAUAUGUCAGACCAAAUCCUAAAACUGGGGUUCCUAUAGGUCAUUGGCCUGUUCCAGAAUCUUUUUGGCCAGAUCAGAAUUCUCCAACACUACCACCUCGUACAUCUCAUCCUGUAGUGAAGUUUUCCUGUACAGACUGUGAACCAAUGGUUAUUGACAAACUGCCUUUUGACAAAUAUGAGUUGGAACCUUCACCACUGACUCAAUUUAUCCUAGAAAGGAAAUCUCCUCAAACAUGUUGGCAGGUAUAUGUGAGCAAUAGUGCAAAGUAUAGUGAACUUGGUCAUCCUUUUGGUUACUUGAAAGCCAGUACAGCACUGAACUGUGUCAAUUUAUUUGUGAUGCCUUAUAAUUAUCCAGUCCUUCUUCCUCUCUUAGAUGACUUGUUUAAAGUGCAUAAAGCAAAACCAACAUUGAAAUGGAGACAGUCGUUUGAAAGUUAUUUGAAGACAAUGCCUCCCUAUUAUCUUGGGCCGUUGAAGAAAGCUGUUAGAAUGAUGGGAGCGCCUAACCUAAUAGCAGACAGCAUGGAAUAUGGACUGAGUUAUAGUGUCAUUUCAUACCUCAAAAAAUUGAGUCAACAGGCCAAAAUAGAAUCUGAUCGAGUCAUCGGAUCCGUAGGCAAAAAAGUAGUACAGGAGACCGGAAUUAAAGUCCGAAGCCGAUCACAUGGUUUAUCAAUGGCAUAUAGGAAAGAUUUUCAACAACUGCUCCAGGGAAUUUCAGAGGAUGUCCCUCACAGACUUCUAGACCUUAAUAUGAAGGAAUACACUGGGUUCCAAGUUGCUUUGCUGAAUAAGGAUUUGAAGCCACAGACAUUUAGAAAUGCUUAUGACAUACCAAGACGGAAUCUUUUGGAUCAUUUAACGAGAAUGAGAUCUAAUCUUUUGAAGAGCACCCGCAGAUUUCUUAAAGGACAGGAUGAAGAUCAAGUGCACAGUGUUCCUAUAGCACAAAUGGGGAAUUACCAGGAAUACCUCAAGCAAGUACCUUCUCCACUAAGGGAACUUGAUCCUGAUCAGCCUCGAAGGCUGCAUACAUUUGGCAACCCCUUUAAGCUGGAUAAAAAGGGUAUGAUGAUAGAUGAAGCAGAUGAAUUUGUGGCUGGACCUCAAAAUAAACAUAAACGACCUGGAGAACCAAAUAUGCAAGGGAUCCCUAAAAGACGUAGGUGUAUGUCUCCACUCUUGAGAGGCAGGCAGCAGAAUCCUGUUGUGAACAAUCAUAUUGGAGGAAAAGGACCACCUGCACCUGUGACUCAAGCACAGCCAGAUCUUAUUAAACCCCUUCCUUUUCAUAAAAUUUCAGAACCCACUAAUGAUUCAACAAUAGAUGAUGUGGUUGAAAAUCAUGUUGCAGACCAACUUUCAUCAGACAUUACACCAAAUGCUAUGGAUGCUGAGUUUUCAGCAUCUUCUUCAGCCAACUUAUUGGAACGACCAACCAAUCAUAUGGAGGCUCUUGGUCAUGACCAUUUAGGAACUAAUGACCUCACUGUUGGUGGAUUUUUAGAAAAUCAUGAGGAGCCAAGAGAUAAAGAACAGUGUGCUGAAGAGAAUAUACCAGCAUCUUCACUCAACAAAGGAAAGAAAUUGAUGCAUUGCAGAAGCCACGAAGAGGUCAAUACUGAAUUAAAAGCACAAAUAAUGAAAGAGAUCCGAAAGCCAGGAAGAAAAUAUGAAAGAAUCUUCGCUUUACUGAAGCAUGUGCAAGGCAGUUUACAAACAAGACUAAUAUUUUUACAAAAUGUCAUUAAAGAAGCAUCAAGGUUUAAAAAACGAAUGCUAAUAGAACAACUGGAGAGCUUCUUGGAUGAAAUUCAUCGAAGAGCCAAUCAGAUCAACCAUAUUAAUAGCAAUUAAAAGAAAAUAGGAUGUGGCCACUUAUUUCACUAUCUUCUCCAAAUACAAAGUAAAUACAAGACUGUUGUGAUCUUGCAUUCAUUUUUGACAUGCAUUGUUGUCUAUUUGAAAUACUAAAAGCAAGUCUACAGAUUCUUUUUCCAUCAUUUUACAGUAACCUUUUCUUCAUUUUGGUUUAUUUUUGUAAUGUGAAAAGUAUCACUCUAAAAAACAUUUUUAUUUAACAAACUAAAAAUAUUCCUCCAGAUUUCUUGCUUGUCAUUGACUCUUGCGUGUCAAUUUCCCUCAGGUUCUAUUUUCUUAAACCAACCUUUAAAAUUGUCACCUCUGUUAAGGUUGAACUUUGCCAAAAAAAAAAUUAAAAAGAAGUUACUUUGUAAUUUUUGGGGAAAAAAGCACAUACAUUAAAACUAGGUAAUGUUUUGUAUAUACAGUUAUUUUGGAUAUAUUAUUGUAAGUUGUACAAAUGUAUUUUGAAGAAUAUUUAAGAAAAGCACUUUUGUUAUUCCAUCAAUAAAUGCUCUAUUUUACUCUUGUGUGGUUUAGGAAAUAAUCACAUUUAAAGUAAUCAUUUAAAAACAUCCUAAGAUAAUGGAAUUUUAAAGGCCUUUCUUUUUUGCAUUGAAAAAAUACACCACUUGAAGUUCAUAUUUGUUAAACCUAACUGUAAUUACAUGUUACAUAAUCUGCAUUGUCAUUUUAUUAUAUGUUCAUAGUUUUUGUUGGCCACACCAACAUACUCCCAUUUCUGCCUAGGUAAUGGGAAUGACUGUGUCUGGCGGAUAGGCAGACACUUUCAAAGCUGUUUAAAGAGCAGACAACCUUGGACACGACCGGUUUCUUUACUUCCCUUCAACCCAUUUUCCUUUCUCAUUAGGAUUGUGGAUGGCACUAAGUUGAAGCUGUUAGGUAGGGAGUGGUGGGAAAAUUGAGGCUUAAAGAGUUUAAGAACCUUGCCCAUGGUGGACCUCAAUUCAAAUCAAGGCUGUGUGACUGCAGAGCCCAGCUCUGAUCGUCUACGCUUUGCUACGUCCCAACUCGUGUGGCAUGUCACACAGUAGGUGAAGAAAAGAAGUUGCUGACUAAUUGACAAUAGUCUCAUUUAAUAUGUUCAUAUUGGAUAAGACCUAUUUUCCUGUUUGCCAUGUGUGAUGUGUGUCUUUGAGGCACAGCAGGGAAGGAAUGCCACUGAAAGCCUUGGUUUUCCUUGUAAGCCCUUGUGAGCAGGCAGUAUCAGCACACCAACUUUGUAGUAUUUCCCCAAGGGCAAGGCAUUUAAAAAUUUACUGUUGAAGGAUCCUUUAAAAGGGCAGCUGAUAUUAUUUUUCUCUGAAAAUAAAAAAGUUUGAAAUGGAA